AUACGGAGGGUGCAAGCGUUAAUCGGAAUUAUUGGGCUUAAAGGGUGCGUAGGCGGAGCGGUAAGUGAGGUGUGAAAGCCCACGGCUCAACCGUGGAAUUGCGCUUCAUACUGCCGUGCUAGAGGGAGACAGAGGUAAGCGGAACUGAUGGUGGGGCGGUGAAAUGCGUUGAUAUUAUCAGGAACACCGGUGGCGAAAGCGGCUUACUGGGUCUCUUCUGACGCUGAGGCACGAAAGCUAGGGUAGCGAACGGGAUUAGAAACCCCGGUAGUCC
RNAcentral lists this ribosomal RNA (274 nucleotides) under uncultured bacterium. RNAcentral describes it as "partial 16S ribosomal RNA". It matches the Rfam family "Bacterial small subunit ribosomal RNA", at positions 523 to 796 of the family's 1533-position model. The record is from RNAcentral.